This is a long non-coding RNA of Panicum virgatum (switchgrass), 979 nucleotides long. RefSeq lists it as uncharacterized. Lineage: Eukaryota; Viridiplantae; Streptophyta; Magnoliopsida; Poales; Poaceae. The record is from RefSeq and is a predicted model, not a curated record. The transcript is spliced from 3 exons.
CUCGCCUCGGCGGCUCUAUAUAAGAGAGGGGCGGAUGCAUAUGCUUGCGUACUCCACAGCAGGCCGGGCGGGGCGAGCGACUGGGAGCGUGAGAGAAGAGUCGAGCGACCGAGAGCGAUGAUUGCUGAGGAGCCGCCGGCGAAGCGGCAGAAGACGACGGCGCCGUCCGGCGAGGCGCCGAUGCCGAGGAGCCGGAUGCUGCGCCGGACCCUGUUCGCGGUGAUGUUCUUGGUGCGAAUGAGCGUCAGGAUCGCAAGCUUGACCAAAAUCCGCCUCAUGAUUCAGAGACAUGUUGGUCUGGCCUUUCGAUUGGUUUCAGGGUAAGAUCUUCUUUCCCUUUGGUGAUGUAGACCUUUAAGUGUCUCCCUCUCUUAGAAGUUAGAACGACAUAAUUUUUUUCAUAAGAAUAGACAAUUAAGAUUUUACAUUGUAGAUUACUAGUAUGGGUUAGCCCAAAUAUAUUGUUUUCAUGUUUUCUUUUCAUGAGACCGUAAAAUUUAUAUGUAGGUCGCUAUCAGCCUUGAUUGAGAGGCACUGGGAUCGAUUGGUAGGACCAUACCUCUAUUUCAUACCAAAGUUUGUGUUUUCAGUUUACUAGCAUCUUUCUUUGAUAAAAUCGAAGUAUGCUUUGUGAUAUAGUUAGCAUUCAACAAAGUGUGGUAUCAACGUAUUAUGUUUUUCCAACUUUACACAUUUCCUAUAUUUUAUUUGUAAUUCUGUUUCCUUGUGAAAUCUCACUCCCAUUUAGAUGAACUUGCAACUCUUUCUUUCUCUAUUUAAAAUGACUAGGCAAAUAUGUCCGUGCGUUGCAACGGGCAAAAUUGGUAUAAGUAUCGAAUACGUAUAGUUGCUUGUGCGUUAAUUUGUAGGGAUCUACAUGAUCGAGUCGUGGACGGAGGGCUUGUCCGACUCACAUACGGGAUGGAUUAAGGCCCACCUAUCAAUAACACAAGGCGGACCAAACCAAAAAUUUAGGCGG